AUUGAACGCUGGCGGAAUGCUUUACACAUGCAAGUCGAACGGCAGCACGGACUUCGGUCUGGUGGCGAGUGGCGAACGGGUGAGUAAUGUAUCGGAACGUGCCCAGUCGUGGGGGAUAACGUAGUGAAAAUUACGCUAAUACCGCAUACGAUCUAUGGAUGAAAGCGGGGGAUCGCAAGACCUCGCGCGAUUGGAGCGGCGGAUAUCAGAUUAGGUAGUUGGUGGAGUAAAGGCCCACCAAGCCAACGAUCUGUAGCGGGUCUGAGAGGACGACCAGCCAAACUGGAACUGAGACACGGUCCAGACUCCUACGGGAGGCAGCAGUGGGGAAUUUUGGACAAUGGGCGAAAGCCUGAUCCAGCCAUUCCGCGUGCAGGAUGAAGGCCCUCGGGUUGUAAACUGCUUUUGUACAGAACGAAAAGGUUUCUACUAAUACUAGGAGCUCAUGACGGUACUGUAAGAAUAAGCACCGGCUAACUACGUGCCAGCCGCCGCAGUAA
This 500-nucleotide ribosomal RNA is filed under the name uncultured bacterium. Its description in RNAcentral is "partial 16S ribosomal RNA". It matches the Rfam family "Bacterial small subunit ribosomal RNA", at positions 30 to 523 of the family's 1533-position model. The record is from RNAcentral.